RNA transcript from Rosa chinensis, 2014 nucleotides. It is a transcript of the gene named histidine--tRNA ligase, cytoplasmic-like, with no coding region annotated. Lineage: Eukaryota; Viridiplantae; Streptophyta; Magnoliopsida; Rosales; Rosaceae. The transcript has 8 exons. The record is from RefSeq and is a predicted model, not a curated record.
CACCUGUCUGAGACUUUCAAACCUAACUCUCACUUGACUACGAUUGACACCAGCACCUCCUUCGACACCUCGAGCUUAUUCUCCGAUCUGAGCCGCCUUGAGCUCGUUCUCCGACCCGAGCUCGUUCUCCGGGUUCAGCUCUUUCUCUCUCGCUCUUCCUUGAAACCCUAGAGCUCUCCUCCUUCUCUCUUUCUGCGGCUACUGUCUCUCCUUCAUUAACCUGGCCUCCUCUGUCCCCUCACUGGCGUCAUCGCCUCUGACGGUGCUUCUCGUCCAACGCCACCACUUUUUUGCUUCGAGAUUUGAAACCAACCCGCCUCCAAGGAGUCUAUCCUCCUCGAUUGGUGCGACUUCGAGCACCAAAUGCCGGCGAUAGAUAAGAGUUUGAGUAAGAGGAGAAGAGAGAGGAAAGAAAGUGAAAGAAUGGAGAGCAGAUACUGGGUGGUGUCUCUGCCUGUCCAAAACUCAACGUCGUAUUUAUGGAACCACCUCCAGGAUCAAAUCUCCAAGCAUUCCUUCGACACUCCCCUCUACAGAUUCAAUAUUCCCAAUCUCUUCUCUCCCUUAGCGACGAUCUCUUAAAGUCCAAAAACUUUGUAGAGGGUGUUUCUCACAAGAUCAGGUGUCAGAUCAAGGAGCUAGAGAGGGUUUUAGGAGUCAAGAGCAGUUCUCUCACGGUGGAUGGAGUUCCAGUGGAUUCAUACCUCACUAGGUUUGUCUAGGAUGAAUCCUAGUUCCCCACAAUGUCUCCUUUGAAGGAGGUUAUCGACAGAAUUCAUGGUCAAGUUGCAAAGAUUGAGGAUGAUCUCAAGGUAAUGCUUUUUACCAAUUUUCAUUUACAUUCGGGUUUGGGUCAUUUUGGUCAUCCUCUUUGUUGUGACUUGUGAGGAGCUUAGCUGUUGUUGUUGUUGUUGUUGUUGUUAUGAAAAGAGCAAAUAAUAGCAUACAGGACUAAAUGAGUAUGGAAAGGGAGUUGCAUACUCCCAAAGCUUCCAAAGGUAGUUGCAUUGCUAGAAUCUUGCUUUCAUUUGUAUCUUGAAUGCUUUUUCUCUAAUCUAUUUUUUUGUCAUUGAUGGUUUGGAGUAUGGAAAGGAACUAUUAUUCAUAUCUUGGCAACUAUGACAUUAUCCUUUGAGCGACAGAGGGUACUCGUGACUUUGCAAAAGAACAAAUGACAAUGAGAAAGAAGGCAUUUUCGAUAAUAGAAGAUGUUUUUGAGAGGCAUGGUGCCACAGCCCUGGAUACUCCAGUUUUUGAAUUGAGAGACACUCUCAUGGGCAAAUAUGGGGAAGACUCAAAAUUGAUUUAUGAUCUUGUUGACCAGGUAUGUUGCUAUGAAUGACAUCACAUCCUUUAAAAGGUACCAGAUUUCGAGGCUAUCUAUGUGCUAACAGAACUUCUUGAUGAGCUAAAUAUUGGAGACUAUGAGCAAAGUUGCAGCCCAUCAUUGUUAAAGAUCAUGACCCUCCCCUACCUUAGGGAUAUUACCACCACAUUUCCAAGUUUUGUAUUUAAUUCAGAGGUUGAUGAGAUUGCUACGUGAGAUACAAUAGCUUAGAUUGCAGUUAGAGUUCAAUUGUCAGAAAUUUGGACGAACCUUACAUGAAAUAUGGUUAAAGUGAGUAUCUAUCUCCUCUUUUGCAUAUUUCAGGAAUUAGAAAAGGUUGCUUCUAUGUUUGAAUGACUGGAGUUGGUAUUAAAUAUUCAUAGCAUCUUGGUUAAUCAUUUCUUGAUAAUCUUUAACUUAUGAGCAAUAUACUUGCAGGACAAGAGGCUAGAACAUGUAAAAGCACGGUUAAAUAUGGAGCUCACUAAGGGGGCUGUUUAUUCUUAUUGAAUUCUAGAGCAGGUUCCAAGUUAUUAGAAGCAGGUUCCAAGCUCACUAUGAGUUGCAGUGGCAUCCCAUUAUUAUUCGUUGUUAUGUUUGUGAAGGUUCUUUUAAUUACUCAUUGAGCUGCAAUUACUCAUUUGUUUCCUAAAUUUUCUUUUGCAGAUCCUAAGGGUGCAGGGUAGC